GGUUAAGCGACUAAGCGUACACGGUGGAUGCCCUGGCAGUCAGAGGCGAUGAAGGGCGUGCUAAUCUGCGAUAAGCGCCGGUAAGGUGAUAUGAACCGUUAUAACCGGCGAUACCCGAAUGGGGAAACCCAGUGUGAUUCGUCACACUAUCAUUAACUGAAUCCAUAGGUUAAUGAGGCGAACCGGGGGAACUGAAACAUCUAAGUACCCCGAGGAAAAGAAAUCAACCGAGAUUCCCCCAGUAGCGGCGAGCGAACGGGGAGGAGCCCAGAGCCUGAAUCAGCAUGUGUGUUAGUGGAAGCGUCUGGAAAGUCGCGCGAUACAGGGUGACAGCCCCGUACACAAAAGCGCAUGUGUUGUGAGCUCGAUGAGUAGGGCGGGACACGUGGUAUCCUGUCUGAAUAUGGGGGGACCAUCCUCCAAGGCUAAAUACUCCUGACUGACCGAUAGUGAACCAGUACCGUGAGGGAAAGGCGAAAAGAACCCCGGCGAGGGGAGUGAAAAAGAACCUGAAACCGUGUACGUACAAGCAGUGGGAGCACAGGUUUACCUGUGUGACUGCGUACCUUUUGUAUAAUGGGUCAGCGACUUAUAUUCUGUAGCAAGGUUAACCG
RNAcentral lists this ribosomal RNA (614 nucleotides) under Salmonella enterica. Its description in RNAcentral is "partial 23S ribosomal RNA". It matches the Rfam family "Bacterial large subunit ribosomal RNA", at positions 1 to 652 of the family's 2925-position model. The record is from RNAcentral. Lineage: Bacteria; Pseudomonadati; Pseudomonadota; Gammaproteobacteria; Enterobacterales; Enterobacteriaceae. RNAcentral also lists the same sequence under 2 other names.